GUACACAACACUACGCAAAACGAACCGCAAAACCGAUAGCAUCAAACAGUCGGAACUUCUAACUCAUGAACAACAUUAACAGCUGUAACAACCAGAAAAUGUAAAGAUCAAAGAUCGGGCCCCGGUUCCGGACCCCGCGUACCCGCCCUACCUGAGACGAUCACCUGAUCUCGCCUCCCUCAUUUUGGCCACUAGAAGGCCUGCAUCAGCCCGUGUCGGCUGUUAUGCCCACUCUCCCCAUCAAUCGAGACUUAGCCGGACAUUUCUCUCUUCAGUAGAUGCGUAUAAUUGGUUGCGUUUCUUAUAAUUAUUAACAAUUUUAACAUAUUUUUUCUCCUAUUUUUACAGGGUAUCCCCAAUCUGCAAUUUAUUCUAUGCAAGCUAAAAUUGUCUUCAAUUCGUCAACAGGCGACGAAACACUGCAAAGUUAUUGCCAGUCAAGAGAAGAAAAAACAACGAGAUAUAAACACCAGACGCAAUAAUAUUAUUGAUCUUCGUUGCCUAUGCACUAAAACUCAAGCUGUGCAGGAAAACCACUGUAAUUGAAGUUACAGGCACUCCCACCAGUAACGAACAGCGCCCAGAUAAUGUUGACGUAACAGAAACUCCCCCGGAAAACCACAUAAAAAAACAUAGAAGCAUCCACGAUCUACCUGGUUUCUAACAAUCGACCGGGACGUUCGAGAUCAGCGAGGGAGGAGUUAAUACCUAAGUUAUCCAAAUAUCAACUUUGGAUAAUCAGCUUGCCAACAUUUGGUUCCCGCACGUGGCCAUUCAACGUGCUGGGAAAAGCUGAAGUAAGAUGUCGCGUAUGCAAUUUUAGGUGCAUAGGAGGUCAACGCGCUCGUUGGACAGCCAAACCGUGGGAUCGCAAAUUCGGCACAAUUAUGGCACAUGCCAAUAAUUGAGGAAUCAGCGGAACCAAUAAAGUUUAUUGGUUCCCAAGAAAUGCGAACCCCUGCGAAAUGCAGAAUGGGGGCAUUUCCGCAUAUGCAACAACACCAAGCUGGAGACGCCGACGCCGACGCCGACUGCGACGCUGCUUCGUUGGACUGAGGUUUCAGUAGGUAUUAAUUAAGUUACAAAAUUUAGUUUUAUAAUUUGUACUCAAGAAAAGCACAUAGUGCUGAUAAACAAAUAAAAAUAGUUUUUUUUAUAAUUCAA
Long non-coding RNA from Drosophila montana, 1164 nucleotides. RefSeq lists it as uncharacterized. NCBI's taxonomy places the organism in Eukaryota, Metazoa, Arthropoda, Insecta, Diptera, Drosophilidae. The transcript has 4 exons. The record is from RefSeq and is a predicted model, not a curated record.